Hippocampus comes (tiger tail seahorse) is the source of this 1390-nucleotide long non-coding RNA. RefSeq lists it as uncharacterized. The transcript has 2 exons. The record is from RefSeq and is a predicted model, not a curated record. NCBI's taxonomy places the organism in Eukaryota, Metazoa, Chordata, Actinopteri, Syngnathiformes, Syngnathidae.
GAGAGCGAGAAGUUUUCUUUUUUAAAAGCAGAUCAUUAGAUGAUGGACCUCAGUUGACUUUCAAGUUGUUGUCAUUUUUAAACAAUGUAAAGCGUGUCAAACCGCCGCCAUGUUAAAAUCUUUAACUUGACAGGCGUCUUUUAACUACUAUUUGAAGAAUUAGUAGAGCAGACAAAAAAACGCAUUACUGUCUUUGUCGAGGCGAGACAAUAGACACUAAAAUACGUCACGACUUUCCUUUCUGGUAAGAGCAUGAAUACACGUUAAGUUAGAAAUGGAUGAUUCAUGAGUGGAUUUCAAUUGUCAUAACUUGAGUACCACGUGCUGCAGCAGACACGAAUAGACGGGCCACACCCUUUAUUUCCUUCUGUGUUGCUAUCAGAGUCAUAAUUCCAUUGCGCGGUGCUAUAAAUCCAUCACAUGCAGUGAGUAACACCGAGUGGGAUGAGUGACCGGGCUGCCACUAGUUGACACUUUGGGCAGGCAGUUCCUUGGCUGCAACUUAUGUACAGGGUGUUCCAAGCCCCGCCCCCGAUCCCCUAAAAAAGAAAAUAAAAUAGGGCAAAAAUAGAAAAUGGGAAUGUGCAACUUCAGAUAUUGCCCAAUAAUAUCACUUUGACAAAAAAAAAAAAAAAAAAAAAAGAAUAUAAAAUAACAUAAAGGCAAAUUCUGCCACAAGAACUGGUCUUGAAUGACUGUUCUUUGUUUACUUUGCACAAGACUCUGGCAUGCAAAGAGGGCUUGACUUCCUUGGUAUUGAUCUUAUCACUUUAUCAGCUGUCGCAAAAGAACAUGAAUAACCGUAGGGCGCGUUAUCAGCUCUCAGAUAAAAUCUGAGGAUCAAAAUGAUACUUUGAUCUCCGUUGGGUAAUUUUCACAUCAGAAAACAGAAAGUGCGUCAGUGAAUUGACAGACAGGAUGUUACUCUGAUUUCUAGAACAUGCAGCAGGAUGCCCCUAAAGGCUGAAGAAUUUGGACGCAAGUGUUCCAUGCAAAUCUGGCUUCUCGGAACGAUCUGAGCAAUGUUAUUGAAGGAAAAAAAAAUAUACAUCACAAAGUCCGCUAUGCCGAGAUUGAAGAGCAGAGACUUAAUUUGACUCAAGUUGCCGUACGUUGUACAAUUGUAUGCAGGUUGUGUAAUAGAUCAUGUCAAGUUUCUCUCUCCCAACUAAAAGCUACGCCUCAGAAGGUGAGUAGUUUUAUUUUGUCUGCAUUAUGCAGUCAGUGACGUCUCCACAAGUAUUUUUCUACGACAAUAAUGUUAAACUACCAGUUAAAAAACAUUGUAUCGUUAUGUUGUAUGAUGGUGACAGUUGAAUGAAGCCAAGUGUUAGCCUAAUGUUAUUAUUUGCUAUAGGAAAGAUUGCCUUGAAAGAAAUUAAAAAAAAAA